This 321-nucleotide ribosomal RNA is filed under the name Triticum aestivum (bread wheat). Its description in RNAcentral is "partial small subunit ribosomal RNA". The record is from RNAcentral. Lineage: Eukaryota; Viridiplantae; Streptophyta; Magnoliopsida; Poales; Poaceae.
AUGGCCGCCGGAGAUGCCACCCACGCGCCGCCGGCCGCGGAGGCGCAGUCUCUGGUGGAGUCGUUCUGCGCCGUCACCUCGGCGACCCCCGACGAGGCGGCCUUCUUCCUCGAGGGCCACAACUGGGCCCUCGAGGCCGCCGUUCGCUCCUUCUACGACAACACGGAAGUCGACGCCGAUGGCCCCGAUCCGGCACCCCAGACCCCGCCAGCCGGUUCGCCUCCGUGCUCCUCACCACGCGCCACGACACCAUCGACGACCUCCUCCAUACCGGCGAGCUCGCGCUAUGUUCAGUUGUGCUCAUGUUCAGGCUCAUCAUAA